UGUCGACUGGUUGUUGGGGGUUUGACACUCUCAGUAACGAAGCUAACGCGUGAAGUCGACCGCCUGGGGAGGCAGGUCCUUAAGGAGUGAUUGGUAACUGGGGUG
RNAcentral lists this ribosomal RNA (105 nucleotides) under uncultured bacterium. Its description in RNAcentral is "partial 16S ribosomal RNA". The record is from RNAcentral.